AAAAAACUAAAUCUGUAAUUUCUUUCUUUUUAAAAAUGUAUUAAUUUAAAUUUUUAUUCUUAUAAUCAGUAUUAAUUAUAUUAAUUAUUCUGCCCAGCUCUAAUUCUGGCAUUUGUCCAGACAACAAACAGAUAGCACCUCACCUGUUAAACUCUCAGUCAGGUCCCACUGAACAGGGGCCACAAAAGACACACAGGAUCUAAGGCUUGAAUUAUUGAUCACUGGCUGAGGGGGCAAUGAAACCUGGGGUGGCUCAAUCCUGGUGACAGACUGAUAUCUAUGCAGCUCCCUUUUCUCUCUUCAGUGGAGCGUGUAACACAGAACAGGACCAGAAGGCCAGAAUAACAUCACAUAUGAUAGCUAAAGACGUGCUUUGUGUGUGAUACAAUUUCAAAUGUGAUUUAAACAUUUUGUUUGAUCUCAAAGUCAGUGACAGCCAAAAAGGCCAGAGUGAUAAAUGGAUGAAAUAGGAGAGAAGGAAACAUGCUGUCAUAAUUUACUCAACUUUAUGUAGUUACAAACCUGGAGGACGAGUAAACAAUUGCAGAAUUUUCACUUUUGGGUCAAUUAAUUCAAAUACUCCAUGAAAGGAUGAAAGGACUGAGGGAUUCAGAUUGAGAAGAGAGUAAGAGGAGCAGAGGCGCUGAAGAGAGGGAGGGAGUGAGGUAGGUCUGAUCAGUCUAGGAGCUGCAUACACACUCUUACCAUACACAAGGGAAAUGGGUCCUCAGCUACACUUCAGCAGCACCUACUCAGAGGAAUUCAGUUACCCGGCUCGAGGCAAACCUGCCCGGCCCAGACCUUCCUCUGCAUAUCGCAGGAACAAUCCUCAUCCACGGCCGGACUUCCUGAUGCCAAGAAUGCUGCAGACAGGAUAUGGCUCACGGAAACACUUUCAGACAACUACUCCUCCUACCUCUUUUCUACCUCCAGUCAGACACAUAUCAGUCCAGUAUCCAGACGUACAAACAGCACAUGGACAGUUGAUGCAGACCUCAUCACAAAAAGACUCCAAACCACCUGAGGUCUCGUCUGCAGUUUGUACACUGCCACCUGCUGCCUGGCUUCUCAAACCACAACAAACCAACUUUGCUCAUGCAACAGUCACAAACACACAAGGUGAAGGACGCAGCUGUUUCCAUGUGGUGAAGCCAUAUAAAGGUGGACACUACAUCAUCCACCCAGAGUUUGUGUCAGAAGCAAAGCACUACUAAAAAUGACUUGUUGUCAGUUUGAUAAUGUCAUUUUACAGUGUAUUUUUGAGGUACGUUUGGUGUUUGGAGAUCCUGCCUCGUAAAAUAUUCUUGGGUGCAGCUUUAUUUUAUUGACUGUAGAAUGUAUUUUUGGAUGUAAAUGUGCAUUUCACGACAAAUAAACAAGGUUUAUGAUGUGCCUGUUAAAUG
Cyprinus carpio (common carp) is the source of this 1403-nucleotide long non-coding RNA. Lineage: Eukaryota; Metazoa; Chordata; Actinopteri; Cypriniformes; Cyprinidae. The record is from Ensembl.